CAACCUACCCUAUACAGGAGGAUAGCCUAGGGAAACCUGGAUUAACCCUUCAUAGUAUUAUUGGAUGGCAUCAUUUGAUAAUUAAACUGAGGUGGUAUAGGAUGGGCAUGCGUCUGAUUAGUUAGUUGGCGGGGUAAUGGCCCACCAAGACGAUGGUCAGUAGGGGUUCUGAGAGGAAGAUCCCCCACACUGGCACUGAGAUACGGGCCAGACUCCUACGGGAGGCAGCAGUAGGGAAUAUUGGUCAAUGGAUGCAAGUCUGAACCAGCCAUGCCGCGUGCAGGAAGAAGGCCUUCUGGGUUGUAAACUGUCUUUUGCCAGGGGAUAAAAUUUCCAUGCGUGGAAAACUGAAGGUACCUGGUGAAUAAGCCACGGCUAACUACGUG
RNAcentral lists this ribosomal RNA (386 nucleotides) under uncultured bacterium. RNAcentral's name for it is "bacterial SSU rRNA". It matches the Rfam family "Bacterial small subunit ribosomal RNA", at positions 122 to 507 of the family's 1533-position model. The record is from RNAcentral.